UACGUAGGGGGCAAGCGUUGUCCGGAUUUAUUGGGCGUAAAGAGCGUGUAGGCGGCUAGAUAGGUCCGUUGUGAAAACUCGAGGCUUAACCUCGAGAUGUCAUCGGAAACCAUCUGGCUAGAGUCCGGAAGAGGAGAGUGGAAUUCCUGGUGUAGCGGUGAAAUGCGCAGAUAUCAGGAAGAACACCAAUGGCGAAAGCAGCUCUCUGGGACGGUACUGACGCUGAGACGCGAAAGCGUGGGGAGCGAACAGG
Molecule: ribosomal RNA, 253 nt
Filed under: uncultured bacterium
Lineage: Bacteria
Description: partial 16S ribosomal RNA
Rfam family: Bacterial small subunit ribosomal RNA
Source: RNAcentral